This 253-nucleotide ribosomal RNA is filed under the name uncultured bacterium. Its description in RNAcentral is "partial 16S ribosomal RNA". It matches the Rfam family "Bacterial small subunit ribosomal RNA", at positions 524 to 776 of the family's 1533-position model. The record is from RNAcentral.
UACAGAGGUCUCAAGCGUUGUUCGGAUUCAUUGGGCGUAAAGGGUGCGCAGGCUGCGUGGUAAGUCGAGUGUGGAAUUUAGGGGCUCAACCCCUAAACUGCAUCCGAUACUGCCAUGCUAGAGGACUGUAGAGGAGAUUGGAAUUCACGGUGUAGCAGUGAAAUGCGUAGAUAUCGUGAGGAAGACCAGUGGCGAAAGCGAAUCUCUGGGCAGGUCCUGACGCUGAGGAGCGAAAGCGUGGGGAGCGAACAGG